RNAcentral lists this ribosomal RNA (451 nucleotides) under uncultured Ochrobactrum sp. RNAcentral describes it as "bacterial SSU rRNA". It matches the Rfam family "Bacterial small subunit ribosomal RNA", at positions 8 to 507 of the family's 1533-position model. The record is from RNAcentral. Lineage: Bacteria; Pseudomonadati; Pseudomonadota; Alphaproteobacteria; Hyphomicrobiales; Brucellaceae.
AGAGUUUGAUCCUGGCUCAGAACGAACGCUGGCGGCAGGCUUAACACAUGCAAGUCGAGCGCCCCGCAAGGGGAGCGGCAGACGGGUGAGUAACGCGUGGGAAUCUACCUUUUGCUACGGAACAACAGUUGGAAACGACUGCUAAUACCGUAUGUGCCCUUCGGGGGAAAGAUUUAUCGGCAAAGGAUGAGCCCGCGUUGGAUUAGCUAGUUGGUGGGGUAAAGGCCUACCAAGGCGACGAUCCAUAGCUGGUCUGAGAGGAUGAUCAGCCACACUGGGACUGAGACACGGCCCAGACUCCUACGGGAGGCAGCAGUGGGGAAUAUUGGACAAUGGGCGCAAGCCUGAUCCAGCCAUGCCGCGUGAGUGAUGAAGGUCUUAGGAUUGUAAAGCUCUUUCACCGGUGAAGAUAAUGACGGUAACCGGAGAAGAAGCCCCGGCUAACUUCGUG